Molecule: ribosomal RNA, 232 nt
Filed under: uncultured bacterium
Lineage: Bacteria
Description: partial 16S ribosomal RNA
Rfam family: Bacterial small subunit ribosomal RNA
Source: RNAcentral
CGGACGGGUGAGUAACGCGUGGGAAUCUGCCUACUAGCGGGGGAUAGCCCGGAGAAAUCCGGAUUAAUACCGCAUACGCCCUACGGGGGAAAGCUGGGGAUCUUCGGACCUGGCACUAGUAGAUGAGCCCGCGUUGGAUUAGCUUGCUGGUGGGGUAAUGGCCUACCAAGGCAACGAUCCAUAGCUGUUCUGAGAGGAAGAUCAGCCACACUGGGACUGAGACACGGCCCAG